AUUGAACGCUGGCGGCAGGCCUAACACAUGAAAGUCGAGCGGAUGAAGGGAGCUUGCUCCUGGAUUCAGCGGCGGACGGGUGAGUAAUGCCUAGGAAUCUGCCUGGUAGUGGGGGAUAACGUCCGGAAACGGGCGCUAAUACCGCAUACGUCCUGAGGGAGAAAGUGGGGGAUCUUCGGACCUCACGCUAUCAGAUGAGCCUAGGUCGGAUUAGCUAGUUGGUGGGGUAAAGGCCUACCAAGGCGACGAUCCGUAACUGGUCUGAGAGGAUGAUCAGUCACACUGGAACUGAGACACGGUCCAGACUCCUACGGGAGGCAGCAGUGGGGAAUAUUGGACCAUGGGCGAAAGCCUGAUCCAGCCAUGCCGCGUGUGUGAAGAAGGUCUUCGGAUUGUAAAGCACUUUAAGUUGGGAGGAAGGGCAGUAAGUUAAUACCUUGCUGUUUUGACGUUACCAACAGAAUAAGCACCGGCUAACUUCGUG
Molecule: ribosomal RNA, 484 nt
Filed under: uncultured bacterium
Lineage: Bacteria
Description: partial 16S ribosomal RNA
Rfam family: Bacterial small subunit ribosomal RNA
Source: RNAcentral